Molecule: long non-coding RNA, 472 nt
Filed under: Cyanistes caeruleus (blue tit)
Lineage: Eukaryota; Metazoa; Chordata; Aves; Passeriformes; Paridae
Description: lncRNA (ENSCCEG00000000066.1)
Source: RNAcentral
GGAGAACCUGCUUAAAUCACCCCGACCCAAAGGGACUGCCGCUGUCCCCAGGGAGGAAGAAAGGCAAAGAAGGAACUGCCUCAUAUCCCUGUGAGAAGAGUAAAUCCAUCACAACAAAGGGUCACGGCCACCACUUUCACUUCUUGAAGCGGAAUUUCGCUGCCUAGCCCCUGCAAACCGAGCUUUCAUCAUCAAUUCUUCGCUGCUCUGCUGCCGCCGAGGGCAGGAGCUCUUGGGUGCAUCACCUCUCUGUCCGCAGCAGCCCAGCAGAAGGGGGAUUCAGAAUUUCCUGAGGCAGUACCAGCCUGAUAAUUCAGGCAGAGAUAAAAAUCCAGACUCCUGGAUCAAGGUUUCUCCAGGAACUUGGGCCCUGCGAGAUGGCAGCAGCUGGGGCUGUGUGAUCGUGUCUCAUUUUCCGAGGUGCAGAACGGGAGUGCCCCCAGGUUCAGAGGUGUCCCAGGGCACAGAGGGG